GGAGGGACUUUGGAGGAUUUAGACCCCCUCAUCGAAUACUCUACUAAACCUCUUAAAAUAAAGUCUUCAUUAAGUAAAUAUUAAGUAUACAUAAUCAAUAUUAUUGAGCUCAAGCUACUUUAAAAAAUAUUAUAGUAUUAUUUUUGCUUAUGAUUUUUGUGUAAAGUUUGAUUUUAAAAUUCAUUGUCUCCUCUGCCAAGAAGACCUACGACACUUAUGGGGAUAAGUACCAGAAAGCAGAAACAAUUUAUUAUUAAUAGAUUUAAGAAAAAUAUGUCCUAGGGUAAUGGGGACGGGCACAGCCACUGUUAUAGAUAAUUCAAUAUAUACUUGUAAGCAACAAUAAACCAUUACUUAUGAAAAAACGAUUCUGAGCGGAGUUCAAUUUCUUUAAAAUUGUAUGCCUUUCUAAAGCAACGCAUUCUUCAAGGGUUUCUUAUACCCUAGCGACGGCUCUGGGUAUCAACUAUAGCCAUUGAAUUAUUUCCUAAGAAAAGUAUUUUAUAUAGUAUAAUCAUAUUUUGAUAGACGCUAUAAAUAGGUAUUUGAAAAACACGAUACAAAAUACCCAGUGAAAAGUUUCAAAAAUUAACGUAUUUAAUUAUUUAUUACUUACUGAAUUUUGAAUAGUUUUAUCA
Molecule: non-coding RNA, 638 nt
Organism: Cinara cedri
Lineage: Eukaryota; Metazoa; Arthropoda; Insecta; Hemiptera; Aphididae
Source: the annotation of a GenBank genome assembly